GUGCAUUAGGUAUUUGUCCUAAUGCUCUCCCUCCCCUUGCCCCCCCACCCACCGAGAGGCCCUGGUGUGUGUUGUUCCCCUCCUUGUGUCCAUGUGUUCUCAUUGUUCAACUCCCACUUAUGAGCGAGAACAUGUGGUGUUUGGUUUUCUGUUCCUGUGUUAGUUUGCUGAGAAUGAUGACUUCCAGCUUCAUCCAUGUCCCUGCAAAGGACAUGAACUCAUUCCUUUUUAUGGCUGCAGACUGAGCCUUUUCUUAACCCCAGGAGGUAAAAUGUGACGGUCCUAAACCAUUUAGGACCAUUUCAUUUGCUUUGUUGUUGACUGGCUUAGGAACAGGCUUGGGAUGCAAUUCUGCCUCUAAGACUUGUGGAUAUGUCUGCUGGAGAGUGAGCCUUGGAGGAAGAGUUUUUCUAGGAAAGGAAUCAUCUCUCAAAAAGAAGCAUAGAGAUCCGAAGAGCAGUGAGCCUUUCUUUUGGGUUUUUUAAUUUAUUUUCAUUUAGAUGUGGUUGGGAAUGCACCGCCUAGAGCUAUUGCAGACAGUUUGCAAUCAUGAGGGAACCAAGAACUUCAGACCAAAGCUGAUAUGAAGACUUCUAUGGAACUGUUGAAUUAACCAAUGCUGGACCCACCCUACCCCCUGGAUUCUUGCUUGAUGAGGCAGCAAAUAUCUAUUGUUCAACCCAGUGGAACUUGAAAAUGACACAGAGAGAAAUGCAAGUGGCAAUAGGAUCCAGAAACCGAGAGACUCAUGGAAAGGAGGCAGCCGGUGGAAGCAGGAGACAGCAGAAGCCAAGCCAAACAGCAAAAGAAGGAAAUUGAAAGGAGCCAGAAGGGGUCAUCUGAGAGAUGUCAAGAGUGGCAGCAGAAACAGACAGGCACCUCCUGUGCCAAUGCCUGCUUUUGAGAGAUCAAGAUCAUGGUAUCUGUAGACUGAGAACAAAGUGUGAGACUCAGAACUAAGUCCAUUCAAGCUCUGCAUUUCUUUGUUAUGUCCCUUUCAUCAGUAAUUUCCAUUAGUUCCUUACAUCUCUUUCAUCAUGAAUUUCCACCAGAGAAUCUAAUUGCAUCAGACUCGCUGAAAAAGUUUAACUAAUAGAUCCAAUAUUUACCAGCCUGUGAUCUUGGGGAGAGAUUUUCCCAGCUGUGGUCAAGGAGAGAUGUGAUGAGGGAAGAAUGGUCAGAGAGAUGCUGCACUACUGGCUUUCAAGAUAGAGGAAGGGGCCGUGAACCAAGGAAUGUGGAUGGCCUCUAGAAGCUGGAAAAAGGCAAGGAAGCAGAUUCUUCCCAACCUAAAGAGGAGGAACACAGCCUGCCAAACACCCCAGCUUUAGCCCUGUUAAACCUGUGUUAAACUUUUAACCUAUAGAACUGUAAUAUAACAGAUUUGUGUUGUUUUAAGCUGUUAAGUUUGCAGUAACUUGUUACAGCAGCAAUAGAAAACUAAUACAUUCUGAUGGCUAACACUACAUAUGCAUGGGAAAAUGUCUAAAAGAAUGUAUUCUCCAAUGUAACAUUGGUUUUGUCAUCUUUUCAAAUUAUUUCUUUUUUCUGGUUUCAAUAACGACUGUGUGUUAUUUGUGUAAUAAAGAAAUGAUGGAAAUGUUAAAGAAUAAGUAAUAUGUACUAAAUAAAGUUAGAUGACCUCUAAGGCUCCACCUAACUGUGGCAUUAUCUGAGCAAUCCAGCUGGUGGCUUAAUUGCCAAUCCAUAUCCUGUUUCUUCUUGGAUGCCAUAGACAGGUCUUAACUCCUCCACAAAGGAACCAGAAAGAGCA
Molecule: long non-coding RNA, 1774 nt
Filed under: Homo sapiens (human)
Lineage: Eukaryota; Metazoa; Chordata; Mammalia; Primates; Hominidae
Description: HSALNT0101335
Source: RNAcentral